CGCAUCUGUGCAUGCAGCAUAUCAAUAAGCGGAGGAAAAGAAACUAACAAGGAUUCCCUUAGUAACGGCGAGUGAAGCGGGAAGAGCUCAAAUUUGAAAUCUUCAAGGUUUUACCUUGACGAAUUGUAGUUUAAAGAAGUGUUUUCUGUUGAAGUUUUGGUAAAAGUUCUUUGGAAUAGGACAGUCAUAGAGGGUGAGAAUCCCGUAUUUGACCACUAUUUUCAGCUGUGUGAUACACUUUCAAAGAGUCGGAUUGUUUGGGAAUGCAGUCCAAAAUGGGUGGUAAAUUUCAUCUAAAGCUAAAUAUUGGCGAGAGACCGAUAGCGAACAAGUACCGUGAGGGAAAGAUGAAAAGAACUUUGAAAAGAGAGUUAAACAGUACGUGAAAUUGUCAAAAGGGAAGCGUUUGACACCAGUGUUGUUUUCUCGAAAAUCAAUUAAAAAGAGUUUAGAUUUUGUUGUGUAUUGACCUUAACAGCUUGCAUUUCAAUUUUCUUGCUUUUUUUAAUGCACUUUUCGUUUAACAAGUCAACAUCAGUUUCUUUUGUUGUAAAAAGGUCAUUGGAAGGUGGCUUUCUUUUCGGAGAAAGUGUUUAUAGCCUUUGACUCCUGCAAUCGGAGAGACUGAGGUCUGCAGCGUAGAUCCUUCGGGGUUAGAUACAUUUGUGCUAAGUUAUAGCUUUUUAUAGACAACUUGUUGACUAUGAUUAGUCUUGUAGCUUACUCGCUUAUGCUAUUUUACCUACGCUUAGGAUGUUGAACUCUAUCACACACAG
This 776-nucleotide ribosomal RNA is filed under the name uncultured Neocallimastigales. RNAcentral's name for it is "partial large subunit ribosomal RNA". It matches the Rfam family "Eukaryotic large subunit ribosomal RNA", at positions 26 to 621 of the family's 3401-position model. The record is from RNAcentral. Lineage: Eukaryota; Fungi; Neocallimastigomycota; Neocallimastigomycetes; Neocallimastigales.